GAUGAAGAACGUAGCGAAAUGCGAUAAGUAAUGUGAAUUGCAGAAUUCAGUGAAUCAUCGAAUCUUUGAACGCACAUUGCGCCCGCUGGUAUUCCGGCGGGCAUGCUUGUUCGAGCGUCAUUUCAACCCUCAAGCCCCCGGGUUUGGUGUUGGGGAUCGGCUCUGCCCUUCUGGGCGGUGCCGCCCCCGAAAUACAUUGGCGGUCUCGCUGCAGCCUCCAUUGCGUAGUAGCUAACACCUCGCAACUGGAACGCGGCGCGGCCAUGCCGUAAAACCCCAACUUCUGAAUGUUGACCUCGGAUCAGGUAGGAAUACCCGCUGAACUUAAGCAUAUCAAUAAGCGGAGGA
RNAcentral lists this unclassified non-coding RNA (348 nucleotides) under soil metagenome. Its description in RNAcentral is "partial contains 5.8S ribosomal RNA, internal transcribed spacer 2, and large subunit ribosomal RNA". The stretch from base 1 to 120 matches the Rfam family "5.8S ribosomal RNA", at positions 35 to 154 of the family's 154-position model. The record is from RNAcentral.